GACGUGACUUCAGAGUUUGAUCCUGGCUCAGGAUGAAUGCUGGCGGCGUGCCUAAUACAUGCAAGUCGAGCGGUAACAGGGUUUCACCGCUUCCUUGACACACCUAGCGCAUUAUCGUAGGUGGUGAGACUUCGAGGGAACAGUGAAACUGCUGACGAGCGGCGGACGGCUGAGUAACGCGUGGGAACGUACCCCAAACUGAGGGAUAACGCACCGAAAGGUGUGCUAAUACCGCAUAUGAUCUUCGGAUUAAAGCUUUCGGGCGGUUUGGGAAUGGCCUGCGUACGAUUAGAUAGUUGGUAGGGUAACGGCCUACCAAGUCGACGAUCGUUAGAUGGUUUGAGAAGAUGAUCAUCCAGACUGGGACUGAGACACGGCCCAG
RNAcentral lists this ribosomal RNA (382 nucleotides) under uncultured bacterium. RNAcentral's name for it is "bacterial SSU rRNA". It matches the Rfam family "Bacterial small subunit ribosomal RNA", at positions 1 to 334 of the family's 1533-position model. The record is from RNAcentral.